GUGGGGAAUCUUGCGCAAUGGGCGAAAGCCUGACGCAGCCAUGCCGCGUGAAUGAUGAAGGUCUUAGGAUUGUAAAAUUCUUUCACCGGGGACGAUAAUGACGGUACCCGGAGAAGAAGCCCCGGCUAACUUCGUGCCAGCAGCCGCGGUAAUACGAAGGGGGCUAGCGUUGCUCGGAAUUACUGGGCGUAAAGGGCGCGUAGGCGGACAGUUUAGUCAGAGGUGAAAGCCCAGGGCUCAACCUUGGAAUUGCCUUUGAUACUGGGUGUCUUGAGGAAGGGAGAGGUGAGUGGAACUCCGAGUGUAGAGGUGAAAUUCGUAGAUAUUCGGAAGAACACCAGUGGCGAAGGCGACUCACUGGCCCGUUACUGACGCUGAGGCGCGAAAGCGUGGGGAGCAAACAGGAUUAGAUACCCGAGUAGUCC
This 425-nucleotide ribosomal RNA is filed under the name uncultured bacterium. RNAcentral's name for it is "partial 16S ribosomal RNA". It matches the Rfam family "Bacterial small subunit ribosomal RNA", at positions 354 to 796 of the family's 1533-position model. The record is from RNAcentral.